AUGCAUCAGUCAUGAUAUAGACAAUUUCCGCCACUGCCCGAUGUUCCUUUGUGCCCCUUCCCCAUCAAUCCUCAGACUUCCAGCAGCCACAGAUCCACUUCCUGUCACCUAGAUUCACUUGACCUCACGAGGUCACGCUCCCCUUCUGGCUCCUGGCAGCUGCGAGGGCAUUUCUAGGGGUGGAGUCCAGGUCACAGAAAUAAUUGGGG
Vicugna pacos (alpaca) is the source of this 209-nucleotide non-coding RNA. Lineage: Eukaryota; Metazoa; Chordata; Mammalia; Artiodactyla; Camelidae. The record is from RefSeq and is a predicted model, not a curated record.